CUCUAAACUUUUCAAAGGUUUGACCCCAGCAAAUUAAAGUUAAAAUUUUUACAUUUUCAGGUAAAAUUUGCGUAAUAAAGUAAUUAUUUUUGUGAAAUGAUAACUAUUUUUGUAAAAUACAGUCAAUUUACAUGCAAUUUGUUUGCGAAAUUUGCUUUAGAAAACGCCAGAAAUUCAGUCCUAGAGCUUCAAAAAUGUAAUAAUUUUCUGGGUGAGGACCCCCAGACCCAAUGCUUGAGUAUAUCAGACAUCUUGAGGAACUGCAAAUUGUAUCUAUGAUAAGAGAGAAUUCUGGAUUGUACUCCUUCGAUUCCGAAUUUUAAAAACUUGGAGGGGGGCAUCGAAAUUUACCGAUAACCUCAACAGAGGCCCUGUAAAAAUAUGAGCUUUUUUCAAGACAUCUUCAUCCCCCUCCCUCGGUGUAAUAGAUGUACUUUCCCUUACGUUCUUAAAGGGAUACGGCAAUAUAUAUUUUUAUUAUUUUAUUUUAAAGAACUUUUAAAAUUAUAUGUUAAUCUCCUUUGCCGAUUUUGCGUAACUUUAUUAUUACUUCAAAUAUUUUGACUUAAAAUAAUUUGCUGUCGGCCAUCUUGGAUUAAUUUUGAUCUCAUUAUCGGUGAUUUUAGUGACGUCAUAAGCAGGCUUAGCCAUAUAAAACUACAUCUAAAUGACCAAAUAACAUUAAGUCUUGUUUGAAAAGUCGUCAGACAGUUUUUUAUUUCAAAUAGUUACUGAACUAUAUGUUGUUGGGCUCCCUGCUUAUGAUGUCACAUGCAUAUCCGCCAAAAUCCAAGAUGGGCGGAAAGCUUGCUGAUUUGUGAUUUUUUCUUUUCAAAUAUCUCAAGAAAUAAUAAAGUUACGCAAAACCGGUAAAGGAGAUUUAUAUAUAAUUUUAAAAGUUCUUUAAAAUGAAAUAAUAAAAUAUUUUGCCGCAUCCUUUUAACUGUGUUUAUCCUAUAUAAACACCAAAGCGGCCCCCCAUAGGAUAAAAGUCUAAAUUUGAACUCUUAAUGGGGGAUUUACAGUAAAGCCCGGUAAAAUGAGCUGGUGCCUUGUGUGAAAUUUUUCUUCAAUUUCGCCUGUUUUUAAAUCCUCAAUAAAUUGCUUAUAUGUGUUCAAUGGGGGGGAUUAAGUAACUAUAAAUAUCCUGGCCCCUGGGAGAGUAUUUUAGAAAAAAAAUGCUAAAAAAUAUAAAAAUACUUGUUCGGCGAGAAUCGGUCCAUAUUACUCAUUUGACAGACGUUGUUACAAGUUGUUACAAGUCUGCAAACAAGUUGUUACAAAUCUGUUCACAAGCUGUCAACAAGUUGUGUUCGCACUGCUUGUUCCCAGUUGUUGUAACAAG
Paramuricea clavata is the source of this 1345-nucleotide non-coding RNA. The record is from the annotation of a GenBank genome assembly. Lineage: Eukaryota; Metazoa; Cnidaria; Anthozoa; Malacalcyonacea; Plexauridae.